RNAcentral lists this ribosomal RNA (420 nucleotides) under Triticum aestivum (bread wheat). RNAcentral describes it as "partial small subunit ribosomal RNA". Lineage: Eukaryota; Viridiplantae; Streptophyta; Magnoliopsida; Poales; Poaceae. The record is from RNAcentral.
AUGCAGGCGCUGCUGGUGGCAGAAGAUGGGUAUCAAGGUGUUGUGGGCAACUUCCACUGUGUUCGGUUGAGGUCAUCAGAGUUAGUUGAAGCUAUGGAGCCCAAGUUGGUCUCCAUUGGCAAGGUGGCUGCUGAGUUCAACCUUGCUACUUCUGGUUCUGAUGAUGUGUUGGCUGUUAAAAAGGGUGCCACGUUGACCAGAGGGGACGAUGCCAUUGUUCAUGCCCCCUCGAAGCUGAUCAAAGGUCUGCUUAUCAUGCCUUCGAUCACCCAAGGUUUGAGCCGCCUUGUCAAUGAGAGUAAAGUCAAGAAUGUCAACCAGGGGAUUAAUGUCUCCUUGGGAAAUGUGACAACCUUGCAAGAUGUUAGUCUCAAGGAUGUGUUUCUCGCUCAGGUAUUUUUUUCUUUAUUUUGGGAGUAG